Molecule: ribosomal RNA, 213 nt
Filed under: Triticum aestivum (bread wheat)
Lineage: Eukaryota; Viridiplantae; Streptophyta; Magnoliopsida; Poales; Poaceae
Description: partial small subunit ribosomal RNA
Source: RNAcentral
AUGAAAAUAUUAGCUUGGAACUGUUGGGGGCUCGGGAACGCCCCGACGGUUCGAGCGUUGCUGGACGUCCAGCGACGAUGCAGCCCUGAUGUGAUGUUCUUGUCGGAGACUCAUCUCGAUAUCUAUCCGGCUGAGUGUUUGCGUAGGAGAUUGGGGAUGGACCAUAAACUGGUGUGUCCUAGUGAUGGUAGGAAGGGAGGUCUCGCUCUCUAC